GGACGAAAGUCUGACGGAGCAACGCCGCGUGAGUGAAGAAGGUUUUCGGAUCGUAAAGCUCUGUCUUUGAGGACGAAUGUGUCUAAUGUGAAUAAUGUUAGAUAAUGACGGUACUCGAGGAGGAAGCCACGGCUAACUACGUGCCAGCAGCCGCGGUAAUACGUAGGUGGCAAGCGUUGUCCGGAAUUAUUGGGCGUAAAGCGCGCGCAGGCGGGAUAUUAAGUCUGUUUUAAAAGUUCGGGGCUCAACCCCGUGAUGGAAUGGAAACUAAUAUUCUUGAGUGCAGGAGAGGAAAGUGGAAUUCCCAGUGUAGCGGUGAAAUGCGUAGAUAUUGGGAGGAACACCAGUGGCGAAGGCGACUUUCUGGACUGUGUCUGACGCUGAGGCGCGAAAGCCAGGGGAGUGAACGGGAUUAGAUACCCCGGUAAUCCUGGCCGUAAACGAUGGGUACUAGGUGUAGGAGGUAUCGACCCCUUCUGUGCCGGAGUUAACGCAAUAAGUACCCCGCCUGGGGAGUAC
This 519-nucleotide ribosomal RNA is filed under the name uncultured bacterium. Its description in RNAcentral is "bacterial SSU rRNA". It matches the Rfam family "Bacterial small subunit ribosomal RNA", at positions 373 to 883 of the family's 1533-position model. The record is from RNAcentral.